Molecule: ribosomal RNA, 468 nt
Filed under: bacterium AnM-E3
Lineage: Bacteria
Description: SSU rRNA
Rfam family: Bacterial small subunit ribosomal RNA
Source: RNAcentral
UGGCUCAGAUUGAACGCUGGCGGCAGGCCUAACACAUGCAAGUCGAACGGUAGCACAGAGAGCUUGCUCUCGGGUGACGAGUGGCGGACGGGUGAGUAAUGUCUGGGAAACUGCCUGAUGGAGGGGGAUAACUACUGGAAACGGUAGCUAAUACCGCAUAAUGUCGCAAGACCAAAGAGGGGGACCUUCGGGCCUCUUGCCAUCAGAUGUGCCCAGAUGGGAUUAGCUAGUAGGUGGGGUAACGGCUCACCUAGGCGACGAUCCCUAGCUGGUCUGAGAGGAUGACCAGCCACACUGGAACUGAGACACGGUCCAGACUCCUACGGGAGGCAGCAGUGGGGAAUAUUGCACAAUGGGCGCAAGCCUGAUGCAGCCAUGCCGCGUGUGUGAAGAAGGCCUUCGGGUUGUAAAGCACUUUCAGCGAGGAGGAAGGCAAUGCGGUUAAUAGCCGUGUUGCAUUGANAGUUA